UGGGGAAUAUUGCACAAUGGGCGCAAGCCUGAUGCAGCCAUGCCGCGUGUGUGAAGAAGGCCUUCGGGUUGUAAAGCACUUUUCAGCGAGGAGGAAGGUGGGUGAGCUUAAUACGCUCAUCAAUUGACGUUACUCGCAGAAGAAGCACCGGCUAACUCCGUGCCAGCAGCCGCGGUAAUACGGAGGGUGCAAGCGUUAAUCGGAAUUACGGGGCGUAAAGCGCACGCAGGCGGUUUGUUAAGUCAGAUGUGAAAUCCCCGGGCUCAACCUGGGAACUGCAUUUGAAACUGGCAAGCUAGAGUCUCGUAGAGGGGGGUAGAAUUCCAGGUGUAGCGGUGAAAUGCGUAGAGAUCUGGAGGAAUACCGGUGGCGAAGGCGGCCCCCUGGACGAAGACUGACGCUCAGGUGCGAAAAGCGUGGGGAGCAAAACAGGAUUAGAUACCCUGGUAGUCCACGCUGUAAAACGAUGUCGAUUUGGAGGUUGUGCCCUUGAGGCGUGGCUUCCGGAGCUAACGCGUUAAAUCGACCGCCUGGGGAGUACGGCCGCAAGGUUAAAAACUC
This 561-nucleotide ribosomal RNA is filed under the name uncultured bacterium. RNAcentral's name for it is "partial 16S ribosomal RNA". It matches the Rfam family "Bacterial small subunit ribosomal RNA", at positions 355 to 902 of the family's 1533-position model. The record is from RNAcentral.